CCUGGCCAGAAUCCACAGAGGAGGGCGCCAAAUCCUCUCUCGUGAGAUCUGCCCUUCUCACGAAACUUGCGCUUGCUUCCUCUCGCGGUCCCAGCAGGCAGCUGAUUGUUUAGAUGGAGAGACCACAGGGGAGAGUUACCUGUUGCUGUGGGAGCAAUGAGGAGUUAUGGAGGAAAGGAGAGGUACCAAGACCAGGUCUGUGCCCUGUGACCCAGAGGCAGCCUUGGGAGGGGCGUCUGUCUAGGAAGAGCCACAGCCAGGCUGACAUGGGCAGGACCCCCUGGACCUGGCCUCCAUAGCCCCAUGCCAGCCGGGGUGCCAGGUGCAGACCCCUGGCCUGGUGACAGCUCAGACAGUGCCAGAAAGCCCAGGAGGGUCGGACCCUAGGGGACGGCAGGGUGCAUCUCAGGAAAGGUUUAAACACUGUAGCACACCCAAAGAAUGGUGUGAGCCCAGAGGUUUCAUUCCUGAAGACAUCAUGGCCAAUAACUGAGAUCCCUGAGAGCUGGACUCUGGGCGCCCUCAGUUUCGAUGUCUUGGAUGCGAAUCAGGCCACAGAAGUGCCCUUAUCUCCACCACUGUGUUCUCCAUUUAUCCCCAUUGAACUUGCCAAGCUCAGCAACAUCCUGCAGGACACCAACCUCACGGGCUGGGUCUACGACCCCGGGCAGCUUCUGUGCGGGUUCCUGGUUCCUCCCUUUGUGUCUCUGGGCUGCACCAGUUUGACCCUGAUGUGAAAUCUGAUGCCUCUGUCAGUUUGUACAAUGCGGUUUACAAUAAAGCAUUUGACAGCAAUGCUUAAUUUACCA
Molecule: long non-coding RNA, 809 nt
Filed under: Homo sapiens (human)
Lineage: Eukaryota; Metazoa; Chordata; Mammalia; Primates; Hominidae
Description: HSALNT0299771
Source: RNAcentral